AGACUGCAAGUGAAUCAACAAGCUGAAAAAGAAUCAAAAAGCAAAAACAAAAGAGGAAAAAAAGAAAAACACUUCUGAUCCUUCAGUUCACGUCCUUUAUACUUCAACUUGGAUACUUACUUGAGAGGGUUUUGUGGGUUUUUACAGAUAAACAAAAGCACUUUUCUAUUACACUUUAGUUUAAAAGUGCUUCUUAAAAGUCUUUCUUUCUCAACCUCUUUAACAUUCUUUCUGCCAUUUCCAUGGGGUUUAGUUGUUGUUGUUUUUUGUUACCCUUUUAACUUGGCAACAAGCUCUUGAUGCAAACAUAAACCAACGGUGGAGAUAUGUCUCAAACUAAUAAAGAUCCCGCUAUUAAGCUUUUCGGUGCUAAGAUUCCGGUUCCCGAUACUCUGGUUCCGGCUGUAUCCGAUUUCAUGGACAUUAGCAAAGAAAUAACUAUAACAGAAAGUAAUGGCCCAGAGACAGAUCAUUCUGAUGAGCUAGAUAAGUCCUCUUCUUUCAAUAAUAUCAAGGAAGAAGAGCAGGCUACUGUGCAAGAAAAUGAGGUUCAGGUUAAUCCUAAGAGCAAGGUUGAUCAGGCUGAGACAACUACAGACCAAGAGAAAGUUUUGAAGAGGCCUGACAAGAUCCUUCUAUGUCCUCGUUGCAACAGUUCAGAUACUAAAUUUUGUUAUUUUAACAACUACAACGUUAACCAACCUAGGCAUUUCUGCAAGAAUUGCCAAAGAUAUUGGACUUCAGGAGGAACCAUGAGAAAUGUUCCUGUGGGUGCUGGGCGACGUAAAAAUAAGCACUUUGCAUCUCAAUAUCGUCAGAUAAUGGUAUGUCCAGAUGGGAUGCCAAUUACUGGUCUAGAAACACCAAACUCAGCCAAUCACCAACUUAGAUCAUGUGGUGAUUCUGCAGCCACAUUGAUACCUUCAACUGAAAAUGGGUCAGUUCUAAAAUUUGGCCCUGAAGCACCUCUUUGUGAAUCUAUGGAGACUGUACUUAAUCUUGGAGACCAGAAGAAAACUGUUGAGAUGAGUGCUGUAAAUAUUGUGGAAAACCAAAAGGAGCCUGCCUCAUGUGGAUCUGCUGUGGCAGCUUCCAACAGUAAAGGAAAUGAAAUGCCUGAAAAUGUUGUGCAAAAGGAGUGUGUCAUGUUGUCAGGAUCUUGCAAUGAGCGAAAUACAUCACAUCCUAUGCAUUGUUACCCUGUACCUCCAUGGGGUGUUCCUUGGAAUCCAAGUUGGAACAAUUUAGUGUCCGUAGCAGCAGCUCAGUGCCCUUCUGAACAAGUUUGUAUGCCAAAUGGCAAUAAUCGCAGUCCAGUUCAGUGGUGCCCAAUACCGGUUCUGGCAGUUCCUGGAUACUGCCCACCCAACAUUCCUUUACAAUUUGUGCCUGCUGCAUAUUGGGGCUGCAUGACCAUGUGGGCUGCUGGAGCAGGGAAAAUAGCAGUGGGUGGUUCUAAUGGUUGCCUGUCUCGAUCAUCCUCUACAAGCAACAACAGUUGCUGCUCGGGUGAUGGCUUGCCAACUCUAGGCAAGCAUUUGAGGGACCCAAAUCUUAUAGAAGAAGAGCAAACAGAGAAGUGUAUUUUUGUGCCGAAAACACUGAGAAUCGAUGAGCCAGAUGAAGCUUCAAAGAGCCCUAUAUGGGCUACGCUGGGUAUUAAACCUAAUGACAUUGAUCCCAAAUCAGGAGAUGCAAUUUUCAAAGGUUUCAAACCCGAAAAGGAUGGUAAGGAUCAUCUACCGGAUGGUACUCAAAUCUUGGAAGCAAAUCCAGCAGCUCUUUCACGUUCUCAAACAUUCCAAGAGAGUACAUAAAGCACCACUAAUGUAAUUCUGGAAAAAAGAACUUUGGUUGUAUCAUCUUUGCUUAUUUUGGGCAAAUACUAUCUGUAUUCUAAGCAAGGGACAAUUGUACCAUGGUCUUCUUUUCUCUCUUUGCAAUGAACUUUGGAGAACUAGCUCUUGGAAAUGAAAAGCUGCCACGCAAUUACUAGGAGUACUGGAAAUUUCUUGAACCGAGCAAACUUUUGGACUGUAGAUCAUGGAGAGCUUUUGUUUUUCUUCUUUAUGUCUUAGUAUAUCUUCUGACCCUUUGUUUCAACUUUAAAAAAUAAGCACUUUCUUGAAGUUUUCUCUAUGCAAACAUGCCGCAUGUUGUGCCUUCUUAUUUCCUUCAUAAAAAGGUCCCUUUCGAAGGCAAAAACAUUCAAAGGUCCUAUCUAUAUAAUCAAUAUAUCCUGUUUGUUCAC
Molecule: RNA transcript, 2251 nt
Organism: Mangifera indica (mango)
Lineage: Eukaryota; Viridiplantae; Streptophyta; Magnoliopsida; Sapindales; Anacardiaceae
Gene name: cyclic dof factor 1-like
Exons: 3
Source: RefSeq, a predicted model, not a curated record